RNAcentral lists this ribosomal RNA (429 nucleotides) under uncultured bacterium. RNAcentral's name for it is "bacterial SSU rRNA". It matches the Rfam family "Bacterial small subunit ribosomal RNA", at positions 355 to 776 of the family's 1533-position model. The record is from RNAcentral.
UGAGGAAUUUUCCGCAAUGGGCGCAAGCCUGACGGAGCGACGCCGCGUGAGGGAUGAAGGCUUUCGGGUCGUAAACCUCUUUUGUGGGGGAAAAAGAUGACUGUGCUCAUACCACGGUUAUUUGAUGGUACUUCACGAAUAAGCCCCGGCUAACUACGUGCCAGCAGCCGCGGUAAUACGUAGGGGGCGAGCGUUGUCCGGAGUUACUGGGCGUAAAGGGCGUGUAGGCGGUUGGAUAAGUCUGGUGUGAAAUGCUUCGGCUCAACCGGGGCGCUGCACUGGAAACUGUCUGACUGGAGUGUCGGAGGGGUGACUGGAAUUCCCGGUGUAACGGUGAAAUGUGUAGAUAUCGGGAGGAACACCUGUGGCGAAGGCGGGUCACUGGACGAUAACUGACGCUGAUACGCGAAAGCGUGGGUAGCAAACAGG